This 762-nucleotide ribosomal RNA is filed under the name Salmonella enterica subsp. enterica serovar Infantis. Its description in RNAcentral is "partial 23S ribosomal RNA". It matches the Rfam family "Bacterial large subunit ribosomal RNA", at positions 2181 to 2925 of the family's 2925-position model. The record is from RNAcentral. Lineage: Bacteria; Pseudomonadati; Pseudomonadota; Gammaproteobacteria; Enterobacterales; Enterobacteriaceae.
UGGAGCCGACCUUGAAAUACCACCCUUUAAUGUUUGAUGUUCUAACGUGGACCCGUAAUCCGGGUUGCGGACAGUGUCUGGUGGGUAGUUUGACUGGGGCGGUCUCCUCCUAAAGAGUAACGGAGGAGCACGAAGGUUGGCUAAUCCUGGUCGGACAUCAGGAGGUUAGUGCAAUGGCAUAAGCCAGCUUGACUGCGAGCGUGACGGCGCGAGCAGGUGCGAAAGCAGGUCAUAGUGAUCCGGUGGUUCUGAAUGGAAGGGCCAUCGCUCAACGGAUAAAAGGUACUCCGGGGAUAACAGGCUGAUACCGCCCAAGAGUUCAUAUCGACGGCGGUGUUUGGCACCUCGAUGUCGGCUCAUCACAUCCUGGGGCUGAAGUAGGUCCCAAGGGUAUGGCUGUUCGCCAUUUAAAGUGGUACGCGAGCUGGGUUUAGAACGUCGUGAGACAGUUCGGUCCCUAUCUGCCGUGGGCGCUGGAGAACUGAGGGGGGCUGCUCCUAGUACGAGAGGACCGGAGUGGACGCAUCACUGGUGUUCGGGUUGUCAUGCCAAUGGCACUGCCCGGUAGCUAAAUGCGGAAGAGAUAAGUGCUGAAAGCAUCUAAGCACGAAACUUGCCCCGAGAUGAGUUCUCCCUGAGACUUUAAGUCUCCUGAAGGAACGUUGAAGACGACGACGUUGAUAGGCCGGGUGUGUAAGCGCAGCGAUGCGUUGAGCUAACCGGUACUAAUGAACCGUGAGGCUUAACCUUACAACGCCGAAG